GAUAUUAGAUAUGCCAUUGCUAUCAUUUCAAAGCACUAGGAAGUUGUGUGCCGCAUAAAGCUGCCCAGGGACGCUUCCAUCUCUAGAGGGGCGAAACUGUCUUUAAUCUUCCCCAGGAUAUCAUCUGUUUAUAUUCCCAAACAUCAGUGGAUUGUGCCAAAGCAACAGAACUUCCCUUGGAAAACGACCCUCUAUAUGGCCAUACCAGGGUCAGUAACAUAGAGGGUUUCCCUAAAGGAAACGAUGAAACUCCUAUGACGAUCCACCCUCAUGUCGCCAGCAACACCACGGUCAUCACCACCGCAAAUUUUCAAGCCUGAAUAACCUAUGCCUAAUUCCUCCCAAA
RNAcentral lists this small RNA (346 nucleotides) under Histoplasma ohiense. Its description in RNAcentral is "hypothetical lncRNA". The record is from RNAcentral. Lineage: Eukaryota; Fungi; Ascomycota; Eurotiomycetes; Onygenales; Ajellomycetaceae.